Molecule: transfer RNA, 72 nt
Filed under: Nanobdellota archaeon
Lineage: Archaea; Nanobdellati; Nanobdellota
Also listed under: 1 other name
Description: tRNA-Thr
Rfam family: tRNA
About the family: Transfer RNA (tRNA) molecules are approximately 80 nucleotides in length. Their secondary structure includes four short double-helical elements and three loops (D, anti-codon, and T loops). Further hydrogen bonds mediate the characteristic L-shaped molecular structure. tRNAs have two regions of fundamental functional importance: the anti-codon, which is responsible for specific mRNA codon recognition, and the 3' end, to which the tRNAs corresponding amino acid is attached (by aminoacyl-tRNA synthetases). tRNAs cope with the degeneracy of the genetic code in two manners: having more than one tRNA (with a specific anti-codon) for a particular amino acid; and 'wobble' base-pairing, i.e. permitting non-standard base-pairing at the 3rd anti-codon position.
Source: RNAcentral
GCCCCAGUAGCUUAGUGGGAGAGCACCUGACUUGUAAUCAGGAGGUCGGGAGUUCAAAUCUCCCCUGGGGCU